This 74-nucleotide transfer RNA is filed under the name Planctomycetes bacterium RBG_16_64_10. RNAcentral's name for it is "tRNA-Ile". It matches the Rfam family "tRNA". From Rfam's summary of the family: Transfer RNA (tRNA) molecules are approximately 80 nucleotides in length. Their secondary structure includes four short double-helical elements and three loops (D, anti-codon, and T loops). The record is from RNAcentral. Lineage: Bacteria; Pseudomonadati; Planctomycetota.
GGGCGCGUAGCUCAGUUGGUUAGAGCGCGUCCCUGAUAAGGACGAGGUCCGAGGUUCGAACCCCCGCGCGCCCA